RNAcentral lists this long non-coding RNA (392 nucleotides) under Pan troglodytes (chimpanzee). RNAcentral's name for it is "long non-coding RNA NONPTRT004129". The record is from RNAcentral. Lineage: Eukaryota; Metazoa; Chordata; Mammalia; Primates; Hominidae.
GGGAGCUUCACGUUGCCGAGUGGAAGAACCAUGACCUCCACUUGCUUCCAAGGUGCUAGGGAAGUUUCAGGGUACGCUGGUUCCCCUCUCCAGCUGGAGGCCAAGUUUCUGGGGACUGCAGACUUUUCUACUCUGUGAUCAAUUCAAUGCCCGAUGCUUCUGUUUCAUUCCCGACCCUUUCUACUAUGCAUUUUCCUUUUAUCAGGUGUAUAAAGUUAAAUACUGUGUAUUUAUCACUAAAAAGUACAUGAACUUAAGAGAAAACUAAGCCUUUCGUGUUUUUCCACAGGUGUUUAAGCUUCUCUGUACAGUUGAAAUAAACAGACAGCAAAAUGGUGCCAAGCCUGGGCCUCUUCGGGAGAAACAUGGAUUCUGUGCACACAGUCUUCAAC